UACAGAGGGUGCAAGCGUUAAUCGGAAUUACUGGGCGUAAAGCGUGCGUAGACGGUUAUGUAAGUCAGGUGUGAAAGCCCCGGGCUCAACCUGGGAAUUGCAUUUGAGACUGCAUAGCUAGGGUGCGGAAGAGGGAAGCGGAAUUUCCGGUGUAGCGGUGAAAUGCGUAGAUAUCGGAAGGAACAUCAGUGGCGAAAGCGGCUUCCUGGUCCAGCACCGACGUUCAGGAAGAAAGCGUGGGGAGCAAACAGG
RNAcentral lists this ribosomal RNA (252 nucleotides) under uncultured bacterium. Its description in RNAcentral is "partial 16S ribosomal RNA". It matches the Rfam family "Bacterial small subunit ribosomal RNA", at positions 524 to 776 of the family's 1533-position model. The record is from RNAcentral.